UAGCCUUAGUCCGAAAAAAAAACAAACCCAAUCCAGUCCAAAUAAAAUUAACAACAAAUAGCAAAAGAAAAAAAUAAAUGAACAGUGCACUUUCUAAAAAAUAUCUAUGGAUAGAAAAGGAAAGUAAAGUUUUUCCUCACUGCAUCGUAUUCAUCGAAUUCUCCGAGAAGGUUUCGGCGGUCGACGACAAACAGGGAUGGCAUGGAUAAUGAUAGCUCAAGCUAAAUCAGACGUUAACACCAUUAAUUUGGAUGGAAGCAAGCUUGAGAAAGACGUCACAAAGGGCGCUUUAAAUUCUCACAAGCACCAUGAAUCUAUCUCGUUGUUUCCUUUUCAUUUUCUUGAGAUGUCGGUAUCAUGGUUGUUACGGGAUAAGAAUUGGUUAUCAGUUACUCAAUGGAGACACUAAAUUCACCAGCAAAUAAGACCUUUCCCAGAGCCAGCCAACUAACUGUGAUGAGGUUUCUAUGCAUCAAAACAUGUUAUUUUCUGAUAGUCUUAAGUCUUUGUUCAUCCCAAACUCCGGCAUGUUGGUGCAAAGAUGUCUGUGUUUGGAAGAAUUGUGCUCUAUGUGGUGCAUCUCGAGGACAAGUUUGAUCUAUGGCAUAGAUUACCGGUAUUACUAGGGAUGGCUUACCUAGGACUAAGAAGACACUUGAACCCGAAAUAAUGACAAGAAAUAUGACACAAAAUAGUUUACCUAUUGGACUUCUGAUGGUACGUGUAAUCAUCUCGUGGAUCAUCUAGUGGGCAGUCAAGGAACCUUCUUUGGCCGUAACAUGCCACCAACAACUUCAAGUUAUGGGGCAAGCUAACAUGCAAUCAACUAUGCCUUGCUAAUUAAACUUGGAAAAUUCUCCAACUUUCUAUUCUUGUCAAAGUUCUCUUUGAUAAUAUCAACUUUCAUUUAUUGAUACCAGGUGUUUCAAUUUUUUGUUCCGUAGGUUAGGGAUUGCGAAUUAGUCUAUUGAAUUUAUUUCAAUGAUUUAUGCUAGUUUUAUUUUUGGAUAUUUAGUUAGUAUGGUAUAAUUUUAGAUAGUCAUAUCACUAUCUGAAAUCUAUAGCUUGAGAUCUCUCAAUCACUUGUGAUAAUAUCAUUUGAUUAUGCAGCUGUUGGAACCUCACCCUCUAACAGUGACAACAAAGCUUUUCGAAAGAAGAAAGUACAUGCAUUGCGGGUGCCAAUUCAACAUGAUAGCAUGCACGUGGAUACAAUUUAUGUUCCAUGAUUGGAAUGACCAUAUGGAGGACACUGAACAGGUACCUAGUUCUUUCAUAAAUAAAGGCAUGAUGAAAUUCAUCACCUGUUGCAAUAACAUGUAAAUGUUGCUGGGAGGCCAUUUGUUGUUUUCUAACUUGUCAAAGUUAGUAUUUACUUUGCUAUAUGAGGAUAUUAUUUUGGAUGAUAGUUAAGGAAAGUUUGUUAAGGUUGAAGGUAAGACAUCACUGUUUUCAUUUUCCAUUUAUGAAAUGGGGAAGAUUUAAAGGUCAAUGUCGGAUAUACAGAUUCGUCCUAUUAAAGGUGUGUUUUUAUGUUUCUCUAACACAAGUUUUCUGACAGGUGGAGCUUAGAGCUCCUCAAGAUAUUGUAACAGGAUAUCCGUUCAAGUCAUUUAAGUUCCUUAAGACCAAAAAACUUCCCACAGGUUCAUCUCAUCUGAAGUUUGGGAAUUUGAAUUCAAGGACCCCAUGGUGAUGAAGGGACUCAAAAACUCUAAUCUCCAUAGAGAGACCUUAAGCUUCUCUCUGAAUAGUUGAGAAUUAUUUUUAAUUUUAUUUACAACAAAGCUGACAGUAAAACAAAAUACCUUACUAGUUUUGAAGAAAGCUAAAAUUUAGGAGGAUGGUUGAAAAUAGUUACUUACUUAACUAAAAAUAUUUAUCAGGUAAUAAAGAGUUUUGGUUAUUACCUUGACUCUUUUGCUCUAUCAAAGUGCUGCUUUGUGGCAUGCUAAAAGAGUUUGAGGUAAUAACCACGAUAGAGAUGGAGAGAUAAUGGGGGCAAAAAUGUUACCUUUGUAAUGUUGUUAGAGUCAUUUGAUAUCUCCUCUGUUGUGUUAGCUGAUUCUUUGUCACUUUUACUUCCCCACUCUUCCUGUCUUCACUUUGUGGGAAUACACUAGGUAUGUUGUUGUUGUAUUUCUUUCUCCAAAAUAUGGCGCACUAUGUUGUCUUGAGUUGUGUACUGAGGCUUUCUUUUCUCUUGAUUAUUCUAUGUCUAUCAGAUAUCUUACAUGCUCUAGCAGAAUAUUAUAAGUUUUUAUUACUUAGCUUUCUUAAAUGACUUGUUCAGUUUUUCAUUCUUCACACAUAUUUAUCUUUGAUUCAAAGUAAGGAUACGUUCGAAUCUAGGCCACAUGGUGUAAUUAGCAACUCAGGUUGUGGCAGCAGAGGAGGUGCAGAACGAUAUGUUGGUCGUGGUGGGUCAGGUUCAGAAGCACGAGCUCCAGAGCAUCAGUAUCAUUCCAGUCUCAGCAGUCAGAGUUAGCAGUAAGUCCUCAUCCUUUGAGGACAUGACCAUUACUUUAUUAUCUCAUUAAUUAAUUUAUUUCUGUAGUUGGAGUUAGUUGGAGACAUAUACCAUCAACUCCUUAUUCGGACAGUUCAGUUCAGUUAGAGGCUUUUCAGACUAUCAUGUUCAGACAGUUUAUUUCAGGUUUUGUUUUGGUGUUGUGAUACCAUAUGAUUCAGAGAUUAUUUUAUCAGUUUUGAACC
This is a long non-coding RNA of Capsicum annuum, 2715 nucleotides long. RefSeq lists it as uncharacterized. The record is from RefSeq and is a predicted model, not a curated record. The transcript is spliced from 5 exons. NCBI's taxonomy places the organism in Eukaryota, Viridiplantae, Streptophyta, Magnoliopsida, Solanales, Solanaceae.